RNAcentral lists this signal recognition particle RNA (96 nucleotides) under Veillonella sp. RNAcentral's name for it is "signal recognition particle sRNA small type". It matches the Rfam family "Bacterial small signal recognition particle RNA". From Rfam's summary of the family: The signal recognition particle (SRP) is a universally conserved ribonucleoprotein involved in the co-translational targeting of proteins to membranes. Archaeal SRP consists of a 7S RNA and homologues of the eukaryotic SRP19 and SRP54 proteins. In most bacteria, the SRP consists of a 4.5S RNA and the Ffh protein (a homologue of the eukaryotic SRP54 protein). Lineage: Bacteria; Bacillati; Bacillota; Negativicutes; Veillonellales; Veillonellaceae. The record is from RNAcentral.
UUCUCGGGCCCGUGCAAUGGGGGCCAAUCGUGUCAGGACUGAGAGGUAGCAGCACUAAGCGGUAACCUUCAUGUGCCACGGGGAACCCGGGGGCUG